Molecule: ribosomal RNA, 498 nt
Filed under: uncultured bacterium
Lineage: Bacteria
Description: partial 16S ribosomal RNA
Rfam family: Bacterial small subunit ribosomal RNA
Source: RNAcentral
AUUGAACGCUGGCGGAAUGCUUUACACAUGCAAGUCGAACGGCAGCACGGGGCAACCUGGUGGCGAGUGGCGAACGGGUGAGUAAUACAUCGGAACGUGCCCAAUCGUGGGGGAUAACGUAGCGAAAGUUACGCUAAUACCGCAUACGAUCUACGGAUGAAAGCGGGGGAUCGCAAGACCUCGCGCGAAUGGAGCGGCCGAUGUCAGAUUAGGUAGUUGGUGGGGUAAAGGCUCACCAAGGCUACGAUCUGUAGCUGGUCUGAGAGGACGACCAGCCACACUGGGACUGAGACACGGCCCAGACUCCUACGGGAGGCAGCAGUGGGGAAUUUUGGACAAUGGGCGCAAGCCUGAUCCAGCCAUUCCGCGUGCAGGAUGAAGGCCUUCGGGUUGUAAACUGCUUUUGUACGGAACGAAACGGUUCUCUCUAAUACAGGGGGCUAAUGACGGUACCGUAAGAAUAAGCACCGGCUAACUACGUGCCAGCAGCCGCAGUAA